AGUGAACGCUGGCGGCGUGCUUAACACAUGCAAGUCGAACGGUAACAGAUAGUACUUGUACUAUGCUGACGAGUGGCGAACGGGUGAGUAAAGUAUAGUUGAUUUGCCUUUAGGAUAGGGAUAGCCAUUGGAAACGAUGAUUAAUACCUAAUAUACCUUUUAUUGUAGUGAUAAAAGGGAAAUGCUUUAUUGUGCCUAAAGAUAAGACUAUAUGGUAUCAGGUAGUUGGUGGGGUAAGAGCCUACCAAGCCAAUGACGCCUAGCUGGUCUGAGAGGAUGAUCAGCCACACUGGAACUGAGACACGGUCCAGACUCCUACGGGAGGCAGCAGUGGGGAAUAUUGCACAAUGGAGGAAACUCUGAUGCAGCAACGCCGCGUGGAGGAUGACGCAUUUCGGUGCGUAAACUCCUUUUAUAUGGGAAGAUAAUGACGGUACCAUAUGAAUAAGCACCGGCUAACUCCGUGCCAGCAGCCGCGGUAAUACGGAGGGUGCAAGCGUUACUCGGAAUCACUGGGCGUAAAGCGCAUGCAGGCGGUUUAAUAAGUUGGAAGUGAAAGCCUAUGGCUCAACCAUAGAACUGCUUCCAAAACUGUUAGACUAGAGUCUGGGAGGGGAAGAUGGAAUUAGUAGUGUAGGGGUAAAAUCCGUAGAGAUUACUAGGAAUACCAAAAGCGAAGGCGAUCUUCUGGAACAGUACUGACGCUGAGAUGCGAAAGCGUGGGGAGCAACAGGAUUAGAUACCCUGUAGUCCACGCAGUAACGAUGAAUGUUAGUCGUUGUGUCCUAGAGACAUCAGUGAUGCAGUUAACACAUUAAACAUUCCGCCUGGGGAGUACGGUCGCAAGAUUAAACUCAAAG
Molecule: ribosomal RNA, 860 nt
Filed under: uncultured Campylobacterota bacterium
Lineage: Bacteria; Pseudomonadati; Campylobacterota
Description: bacterial SSU rRNA
Rfam family: Bacterial small subunit ribosomal RNA
Source: RNAcentral